Molecule: ribosomal RNA, 451 nt
Filed under: uncultured bacterium
Lineage: Bacteria
Description: partial 16S ribosomal RNA
Rfam family: Bacterial small subunit ribosomal RNA
Source: RNAcentral
AGCGAACGCUGGCGGCAGGCUUAACACAUGCAAGUCGAGCGGGCAUAGCAAUAUGUCAGCGGCAGACGGGUGAGUAACGCGUGGGAACGUACCUUUUGGUUCGGAACAACACAGGGAAACUUGUGCUAAUACCGGAUAAGCCCUUACGGGGCAAAAUUUAUCGCCGAAAGAUCGGCCCGCGUCUGAUUAGCUAGUUGGUGAGGUAAUGGCUCACCAAGGCGACGAUCAGUAGCUGGUCUGAGAGGACGAUCAGCCACAUUGGGACUGAGACACGGCCCAAACUCCUACGGGAGGCAGCAGUGGGGAAUAUUAGACGAUGGGCGCAAGCCUGAUCCAGCCAUGCCGCGUGAGUGAUGAAGGCCCUAGGGUUGUAAAGCUCUUUUGUGCGGGAAGAUAAUGACGGUACCGCAAGAAUAAGCCCCGGCUAACUUCGUGCCAGCAGCCGCGGUAA